RNAcentral lists this ribosomal RNA (425 nucleotides) under uncultured bacterium. RNAcentral describes it as "partial 16S ribosomal RNA". It matches the Rfam family "Bacterial small subunit ribosomal RNA", at positions 354 to 796 of the family's 1533-position model. The record is from RNAcentral.
GUGGGGAAUAUUGGGCAAUGGGCGAAAGCCUGACCCAGCAACGCCGCGUGAAGGAAGAAGGUUUUCGGAUCGUAAACUUCUAUCCUUGGUGAAGAUAAUGACGGUAGCCAAGAAGGAAGCCCCGGCUAACUACGUGCCAGCAGCCGCGGUAAUACGUAGGGGGCAAGCGUUGUCCGGAAUGAUUGGGCGUAAAGGGCGCGUAGGCGGCCCGGUAAGUCUGAAGUGAAAGUCCUGCUUUUAAGGUGGGAAUUGCUUUGGAUACUGUCGGGCUUGAGUGCAGGAGAGGUAAGCGGAAUUCCCGGUGUAGCGGUGAAAUGCGUAGAGAUCGAGAGGAACACCAGUGGCGAAGGCGGCUUACUGGACUGUAACUGACGCUGAGGCGCGAAAGUGUGGGGAGCAAACAGGAUUAGAAACCCCAGUAGUCC